RNAcentral lists this ribosomal RNA (504 nucleotides) under uncultured bacterium. RNAcentral describes it as "bacterial SSU rRNA". It matches the Rfam family "Bacterial small subunit ribosomal RNA", at positions 10 to 507 of the family's 1533-position model. The record is from RNAcentral.
AGUUUGAUCAUGGCUCAGAUUGAACGCUGGCGGCAUGCCUUACACAUGCAAGUCGAACGGCAGCACGGGAGCCUGCUCCUGGUGGCGAGUGGCGAACGGGUGAGUAAUACAUCGGAACGUACCCUGAAGUGGGGGAUAACGUAGCGAAAGUUACGCUAAUACCGCAUAUUCUGUGAGCAGGAAAGAGGGGGAUCGCAAGACCUCUUGCUUUAGGAGCGGCCGAUGUCGGAUUAGCUAGUUGGUGAGGUAAAGGCUCACCAAGGCGACGAUCCGUAGCGGGUCUGAGAGGAUGAUCCGCCACACUGGGACUGAGACACGGCCCAGACUCCUACGGGAGGCAGCAGUGGGGAAUUUUGGACAAUGGGCGCAAGCCUGAUCCAGCCAUGCCGCGUGAGUGAAGAAGGCCUUCGGGUUGUAAAGCUCUUUCGGUGGGGAAGAAAUUGCUUCGGUUAAUACCUGGAGUAGGUGACGGUACCCGCAUAAGAAGCACCGGCUAACUACGUG